AUGGUUUGCGGGAAAACUCUUCUCUCUCUGGUCUCACUUCGAGUCCUUCUAGAAGUAAAUAAAGGAAAUGCUUAUUCAACUACGGCACUGUCGGACAACCGACCGGAUUCAAGCCCUAGCCCCUCAACUCGGACGGACUUGUGGAAAUCCUCGAGCGACCUGCACGAAUGGUGUAACGACUGCCCCGCUGUCUCCGACAUGGACCCGGUGAAAUUGAAUUCUCCGUGA
Molecule: ribosomal RNA, 228 nt
Filed under: Triticum aestivum (bread wheat)
Lineage: Eukaryota; Viridiplantae; Streptophyta; Magnoliopsida; Poales; Poaceae
Description: partial small subunit ribosomal RNA
Source: RNAcentral